This 68-nucleotide transfer RNA is filed under the name Megathymus streckeri streckeri. Its description in RNAcentral is "tRNA-Met". Lineage: Eukaryota; Metazoa; Arthropoda; Insecta; Lepidoptera; Hesperiidae. The record is from RNAcentral.
UUUAAGAUAAGCUAAAUUAAGCUUUUGGGUUCAUACCCCAAAUAUAAAGAAAAUACCUUUUCUUAAAU